AUACGUAGGUGGCAAGCGUUGUCCGGAUUUACUGGGUGUAAAGGGCGUGUAGGCGGAGAUGCAAGUCAGGAGUGAAAUCUAGGGGCUCAACCCCUAAACUGCUUUUGAAACUGUAUCCCUUGAGUAUCGGAGAGGCAGGCGGAAUUCCUAGUGUAGCGGUGAAAUGCGUAGAUAUUAGGAGGAACACCAGUGGCGAAGGCGGCCUGCUGGACGACAACUGACGCUGAGGCGCGAAAGCGUGGGGAGCAAACAGGAUUAGAAACCCUGGUAGUCCACGCUGUAAACGAUGAAUACUAGGUGUGGGGGGACUGACCCCCUCCGUGCCGCAGUUAACACAAUAAGUAUUCCACCUGGGGAGUACGAUCGCAAGAUUGAAACUCAAAGGAAUUGACGGGG
Molecule: ribosomal RNA, 396 nt
Filed under: uncultured bacterium
Lineage: Bacteria
Description: partial 16S ribosomal RNA
Rfam family: Bacterial small subunit ribosomal RNA
Source: RNAcentral